CCUUGCUCUUCCAACUGUCAUUCUGGUCCUGCCAGUCAACUUUAGAAUUCCAAAAUCCUCCAACUCCAUCUUAACAAGGGGAAGAAUAUUAUUAUUAGAAGGAGAGGAAGAGAGUGCUAAAAGUCCUAUGAUAACCCAGAUCUUCUCCAUUGUCAGAAUCAUGCCCAAAUUCAUACCUGUUGUAUUCUUCUGGAUCAGCACCUUCAGUUUGAUCUUCACAAUGAAGACCAUCAUAAGCCUCUUCCUCCUUUCCUUUGUCUUGACUGUCAACAGUCAGAAUGCAGAUAGAAAGUGGUUUGGCGAAGGUAAGGAUAUAUUGACUAGUAAGACCUUAGUACACCUGUCUAUACCUUCUACUUGCACAAAAAUCAACUAUG
This 377-nucleotide long non-coding RNA is filed under the name Monodelphis domestica (gray short-tailed opossum). Its description in RNAcentral is "lncRNA (ENSMODG00000032148.2)". The record is from RNAcentral. Lineage: Eukaryota; Metazoa; Chordata; Mammalia; Didelphimorphia; Didelphidae.